GUUGAGAUGGCCGAGUUGGUCUAAGGCGCCAGAUUAAGGUUCUGGUCCGAAAGGGCGUGGGUUCAAAUCCUUUUUGAAUA
This 80-nucleotide transfer RNA is filed under the name Musa acuminata subsp. malaccensis (wild Malaysian banana). It matches the Rfam family "tRNA". Rfam says of the family: Transfer RNA (tRNA) molecules are approximately 80 nucleotides in length. Their secondary structure includes four short double-helical elements and three loops (D, anti-codon, and T loops). The record is from Rfam by way of RNAcentral. Lineage: Eukaryota; Viridiplantae; Streptophyta; Magnoliopsida; Zingiberales; Musaceae.